Molecule: long non-coding RNA, 5591 nt
Filed under: Solanum tuberosum (potato)
Lineage: Eukaryota; Viridiplantae; Streptophyta; Magnoliopsida; Solanales; Solanaceae
Description: long non-coding RNA (STUB_LNC003098)
Source: RNAcentral
UGCUCUGGUUGGCAGGGUGCUCUCCGAAUUGUAGGAAAUUGUUUAACUGAACAAAGCUCUGCUUCAAAAAAAAGAUUUGCCGGUUGUUCUGGAUUCAUAGGAUGGGUUUAGAUGUUGUAAUUCUUUAGGAAAAAAUAUUUUAUGAGAGGCAUUCAUUUUACAUAGAUAGGAAUGUGAAAAAUGAAGCAGAUUUGUUUUCCUACAGAAUCAUUGCCGUUGUGAGUUGGUCCUGCAACAAUGUGGUUUAGCUGGGAUAUAUAUAUAUAUAUUUAUGCAUCCUGUGGUACAAUUUGCUUUCAAGUCAAUACUGCCUACCUAUUUGAGUAAAUUUUUUCUGGAUAAUCAUAUUUGAAUACUAUGGACUUGAGCAAAUUCCUCAUAUAUGGUCUUGUUUUUUCAAGUUUUAGUGCCCAAGCGCUAGUGGUUGGUUCCACAAAGAUUUUGUUCACAACCAGUCAGGCCAAACAAGCUCAAGCUCUGAAAUUAGUUUCUAUUUAUUAUCCUAAGAAACACUUGGUAUUUUCUUUCAAAAGUGGGGUAAAAAAUAUCACUUUUUUUUAAUAAAAAGAAUACACUUUUAGCAUUUCAAAUCACACCCAAUUUAUCAUUUUUGUGAAUAAUUGAAUUAUCACGCUUUUAUAUGUUAAAAAAAACUACUCCUCAGUUACUUGUCAAAAUACGGAGAGUGAAGUGGAUGAAAUAUUUUUUGGUAAAACUACGAGGUUGGUUUUUAUUUCUUCAAAAAUUCAAAUGAAUUACAACUAAUAUUUAUCAUCAAUUCAACAUAUUUUGCAAGUUCAAUGAUAAAAUGAUUGGGACAUCUUUUGAAAUUUAAAACUAUGCAUACAUAAAAAUAAAUAAAAUGAAACUGUCGUAUUAUGAUUUAUUUUACGAACUUAGGAUUAACGAUCUUUACAAAAUUAAUGAAAACAAAGUAAUUUAGUAAAGGCAAAUAAAUCAAAUUGUUAAUUCCUUAAGUAACAAAUUAGAUGAUUUUUUUUGUCAUAAAUAAAUCAAAAUAGUACUAAUAAAAAAAAGGUAAUCCGUGUUUUGUGACGAGUCUUUACAACUGCCCAAAAUUCACUAUUUAGCCCUAAUUUUUUUAUGCUUUUCCCUCUGUUUUUACUUUCCCCUAUUCCUCUCAUCGGCCGGCGAUUUCUGCCGGUGCAUCAUCUCAACAAACACACACUCGGAAACCAAACGGCCGACGGUCUGACACCGUCACCGCUGUUCCACUUCCCCCGCCGUAUCUCGCGCCACCAGUAGCUGUAAGUUGAUCGAGUUCCACCGAUUGGUGUUUACACUCAUGGUAUUUUCAUGGAAAAGGGAAAGCACUGGUGAAAGUUAUUAGGCUUUCCUUGCAAACAAUCUAUAUUUGUCUUCAAAACUUCCAGGACAUUUUGAUUUUGAGUUUACAGACUAAGAUUUUGUAGAAAUUUGUAGAUUCUGCUUAUGGAGCUGUUUGACAUUGACAUUGAAAUCUGAAUUAUAAUGAAUUGAUGAUGUACAGAUUGAAGAUAGAAAAAACGCAGACCCUAGACUUUAUCUUUCUCCUAAUUCAAUGUGCACACCCACUAAAGAUGAGAAACCACGGCUUUAGUGUCUGCGUAUAUAUUUUGCCUUGAAAAUCUACUAAACAUAUAAUCAUGUACUCUUUAAAACUGAUUUUAGUGGUUAUAAUUUGUCUUAUCAGUUAUUGGUCUUUUCAGUGUUGAAAGUGUGCUCAUGGACCUUUUAGAUGAUAUUUUUGCUGGUGGUGCUUCAAAGACUGGUAAGGAGGGAGAAAAUGUUUUUUCUUUUAAAUUUGCGAUGAAAGUUAUUCUCAUUCUUUCAAGGUUAAGCUUAAUAUUGUUAUUUAAUGCAGUCAAGGCUGGUGGCAAGUUUCAACCCAAGGCCAAGCCCCGCUCGUUGAAGAAAGGUCCAGCUGUUGCAUCCUCUUCUUUGACGUCAAAACCCACUGGUGAUACUGUAGCAACUGAUUCCUCUGAAGCUCUUAAGAGUGGAAAGAAUUCUCAAAAUUGUUAGCUUUCUUGCCUUUAUGUUAUUGUUAUUUUCUUUUCCAGAAUAUUUUAUUGGUGCAAAACUUGAUCGCAUAUUAACUGUUGAGGCCCUGAGGGUCAUCGAAACUGUUGAGUGCUUUUGUGCAUAAUUUAUGAAGAGGCAAGUAUUAUUGAUGUCAAAAUCUCUUAGUGCUGUUUCAUAAUAAAAGGGAGCUAAAUUAGCAACAAAAAAUAAAAUAACAAUACCCGCCUAAUAUAACUUAAAUAGUAGGGUGAAACUGGCUACCAGACGCAAUUCCUACUUUAAGGCCUCAGAGGACACCUGACCCGACCCGUAUAAAAAACUUGCGCAAAAAGACUAGCUUCAGUCUUCGUCUACAUAAAGAGGAAAAAACCUCUCGACUCAUUUCAUUGCGCUUCUCUUUAGAUCUCACAUCUCAGGUAGCUUUCUAUCUCUUCAAAUGGCCUUUUUUUUUUUCUAUUACCGAUGCGGUUGAUCAAUAUAAACCCUCUCCCUUUCCCCAAUUUCUUGGUAUUUUCUUGAUUUUUUUAAUGUAUUUUUUGUUGAAUUCAUUGAUGGGUUUGUGUUAUUCUAUUGAUAAGUAAAUUAGUUGAACUUUUUGGUUUAUGUUUUUAAGAAAAUGUAUGGAAAAUUUUGGACUUUUUGUGAAAGUAGAAAGAGGGUUUACAUGAGAAGGAGUAUAAUUGAUAGUAAGUUUAAUUUAUACCUUGCAAGUAAAUAUUGAUAAUUGACGACAAAUAUUUUACCAGUAGCGCGAUAAGUUCAUUUCUAUAGCAGUUCUGGUUGUAAAGAAUUGUUUUAAUUAGAGAAAAAGACAGACAAAUUUCAUUAAGAUGUGCAAUGUGGAAAAUUUGGCUUUUGGGUGUCACUAGUUAGGAAAGUUGGGUGGAUAUCUAGUGUUUAUGAAGUACAAGUUGCAGAAUACGACUAGGGGUGUUUAAGAAAACUUUAAGGGAUGUAUGACUUGAUUUUUUUAACCCUGCCCAGAAGCUCUCGCACUUUUUUGCUCCGUUGGUGACUCAAACCCCAACCUUAGGGCUGGGGGUGGAGGGUGAUUACCAUGUGAGCAACCCGUCUUGUCGUAUGACCUGAUUUAGGUAGUUAUGCCAUGGUCUUUUUGGUGUGUAUUUGAAAAGAUAAAUCACAGCACCACACAAGUUAUAGAAGGGUUUUGAAACAGGACCAUUUUAUAAAAAAUUCUUCAUUUGGAAUGUCCAUUGAAGUCUUCUCUAGGAUGGCUUUGAGUGUGGAAUUCAUGUUUAAUGUAUUGAAUAACUGUGCCUACCUCAGUUGGAGAUUCAAGUGUUAAAAAGGAGAGAGAUCUAGUUAGAGUUCGUCUACAUUGAUUCUCUCCUUGUAGUAAACAAUAUUUCCUUAGCAGUUAAAGGCAUGUUUAGUCUAAGUUGUAAGAUUGCUGCAGUGUUUGCUGAGUUUUAAUACUAUACCCACUUGGCUUUGUUAACUCUCAAUUUUAUAGUUCCUUUCUUUAUCUCUUCUUUUUGAACAAUGCUCAAGUUCUUGUGCCAAUAAGGGAGUCCCCUGCCGAAGUAUUAGUUUUUUAUUGGAAUAUAAGGAGUGAAAGUGUAAAUGUACCAAACUUUAGCCUUAAUCUACAGAAACCUAAUAUAAGAAGAUAUCUGAUCCUGACAGCUAAGCAUUUACCUUAGCUGCCUUAAAUCCCUUCUUACAAUUGGUCCUUUUUAUAAUCCUCUGUUCACAUUUUACAAAAAAAUAAUCUUGGAGCAACACAUCACCAAUCUUUGGUAAAAAAUUGAUCUUUUCUUAAUUGAAAUCUAGGAUAUAUUAAACCUUGGAUCACAUUGCUCCUGAUUUGAUUUCUUGAGAAGUCCCCUCCGUCUUUGUGCCAAGUGCGAAUUGUAUUCUGUAUCCAAUUAUUAUACAAUUGAGCAACUCUUAAAAUCUUUUGGUUUCAAAUUGCAAGAACUGAAGUUGACACGGGUGGUACUAGCCUCCAGUCUGGCAAUUGUAUUUAUCUUACUCUAGUAGGCAAGCCACAUCUUAGCGUUUCAAGAAAGAUCUACGACAAAGUGAUUUGUCUUCUUUGCUUUGGCUACCAGUAAAAUGCUACCAGAACCUACCAAAUUCAUGAGUCUGCAAUCACUCGAAGUAGAGCUCUUCCCCACAAACAAUUUUCCCUCCAAGUUUUUCACAUUUCCUUCUGGAACUUCAUACGCAAUAAUGCUCCGUGUGUUUUUCUUCUUCUUUUUGAUUCAAAUCCUAAGAAGUUGCACCAUAAAUUCUGUUAUGUCCCCAGUUGUAUUUCCUGGCUCUUUGCCCUGACUUGGAUAGUCUCUUUUCAUCUGCAACUUGCAUUGUGAGCUUGUUGCCCACAAUGGCCUUGCUAAUGAUUCCCUUUUCGACAAACUGGACAGUAUUUUCAGAAGGUUCCUUGCCUUGUUGGAUCUCAAAAGGUGCUGGACUUGAUGAAAAUAAUCCUCCUAAUUACCAUUGUUUAAUCUGUCAUUAUACAUGAUGUAGAUGCAAUGCUCUCUGAAUUGUAGGAAAUUGUUUAACUGAACAAAGUUCUGCUUCAAAAAAAAAGAUUUGCUGGUUGUUCUGGAUUCAUAGGAUGGGUUUAGAUGUUUUAAUUCUUUAGGAAAAAAUAUUUUAUGAGAGGCAUUCAUUUUACAUAGAUAGGAAUGUGAAAAAUGAAGCAGAUUUGUUUUCCUACAGAAUCAUUGCUGUUGCGAGUUAGUCAUGCAACAAUGUGGUUUAGCUGGGAUAUAUAUAUUUAUGUAACCUGUGGUGCAAUUUGCUUUCAAGUCAAUACUGCCUAGCUCAAUUCAUUUGAGUAAAUUUUUUCUGGAUAAUCAUAUUUGAAUACUAUGGACUUGAGCAGAUUCCUCAUAUAUGGUCUUGUUUUUUCAAGUUUUAGUGCCCAAGCGCUAGUGGUUGGUUCCACAAAUAGAUUUUCUUCACAACCAGUUUGGCCAAACAAGCUCAAGCUCUGAAAUUAGUUUCUGUUAUCCUUAGAAACACUAAUUUUCUUUCAUAAGUGGGGUAAAAAUAACACUUUUAGCUUUUCAAAACACACACAAUAUAUCAUUUUAGUGAAUAUUUGAAUUAUCACGCUUUUAUAUGUUAAAACUAUUAUCAGUUACUUGUCAAAAUACACUUCUGUAACUUGUAAGUACAUAAUGUAUAACUGGAGAGUGCACAAGAUGAAGUGGAUGAAAUAUUUUUUUGGUAAAACUACGGAGUUGACUUUUGUUUCUUCAAAAAUUCAAAUGAAUUACAACUAAUAUUUAUCAUCAAUUCAACAUUUUUUGCAAGUUUAAUGAUAAAAUGAUUGGGACACCUUUUGAAAUCAAAAACUACGCAUACAUAAAAAUAAAUAAAAUGAAACUGUCGUAUUAUGAUUUAUUUUAGGAACUUAGGAUAAAAGAUCUUUACAAAUUAAUGAAAGCUCCAGCUGUUGCAUCCUCUUCUUUGACGUCAAAACCCACUGGUGAUACUGUAGCAACUGAUUCCUCUGAAGCUCUUAAGAGGCAAAGAAUUCUCAAAAUUGUUAGCUUUCUUGCCUUUAUAAUAAAAUAACAAUAUCCGCC